GGGGCAGCGGGGUUGUAUCAAUACAACUGCCGUGUCUACCGGCGCACGGGUGAGUAACACGUAUGUAACCUGCCCUCUGCAGGGGGAUAAGCGGAAGAAAUUCCGUCUAAUACCUCAUAAUACAAUUUGGAGACAUCUCCGGGUUGUCAAAGGAGUGAUCCGGCAGAGGAUGGACAUGCGGCGCAUUACCUAGUCGGCGGGGUAACGGCCCACCGAGGCUACCAUGCGUAGGGGUUCUGGAGAGGACGGUCCCCCACACUGGUACUGAGACACCGACCAAACCCCUACGGGAAGCAGCAGUGAGGAAUAUUGGUCAAUGGGCGGAAGCCAGAACCAGCCAAGUCGCGUGAGGGAAGACGGUCCUAUGGAUUGUAAACCUCUUUUGCAGGGGAGCAAGGCGCGGUACGUGUACCGCGAAGGAAAAAACCCUGUGUUUGNGCCUCGGCUGGCUCCGUGCCUGCCGCCGCGGUUCUUCGGUGGCUGCGUGCGUUCUCCGGCUUUNUUGGGUUUNNUGGGUGCGCGGGCGGNCUGUUNNGUCUGCGGUNUUCUGUCGGUGCUCUUCUCCGGCCGGCCGUCUGCCCCUGGCUGCCUUGUGUGCGCGCGCCGUCUGCGGCCUGCGUGGUGUCGCGGUGNNNUGCCUNGCUUUCUUGGAGGGNCUCCNCUUNCNNNNNCNNCCUCCCNNCCCUCNNCUNNCNCUCNNNCNCNNAAGCNUGGGUAUCCCUUUAAAGGGNGCUNCCCNNNUNNUCCNCNCANNNNNCGAUCCUUUAAUGGAAUCCGGGCCGUUUAAGGCUUGGGUGCUCAAGCGAAAGCGUUAAGCAUUCCACUUGGGGAGUACGCCGGCAACGGUGAAACUCAAAGGAAUUGACGGGGGCCCGCACAAGCGGAGGAACAUGUGGUAUAAUUAGAUGAUACGCGAGGAACCUUACCCGGGCUCAAACGGAAGGGGACAGUAUGAAAAAUAAUACAUUCCUUCGGGACCGCUUCCGAGGUGCUGCAUGGUUGUCGUCAGCUCGUGCCGUGAGGUGUCGGCUUAAGUGCCAUAACGAGCGCAACCCCUAUCGACAGUUGUUAGCAGGUAAAGCUGAGGACUCUGUCGAGACUGCCGGCGCAAGCUGUGAGGAAGGCGGGGAUGACGUCAAAUCAGCACGGCCCUUACGUCCGGGGCGACACACGUGUUACAAUGGAAGGUACAGCGGGAAGCCACCCGGCGACGGGGCGCAGAACCCGAAAACCUGUCUCAGUUCGGAUUGGAGUCUGAAAGCCGACUCCAUGAAGCUGGAUUCGCUAGUAAU
This 1292-nucleotide ribosomal RNA is filed under the name uncultured bacterium. Its description in RNAcentral is "partial 16S ribosomal RNA". It matches the Rfam family "Bacterial small subunit ribosomal RNA", at positions 66 to 1342 of the family's 1533-position model. The record is from RNAcentral.